AAAAAAAAAAAUUGUACGGUGUUGGAAAGUUUGCCUGCGUUUUCCGCUAGGGGCGCUGUUCCAACUCCAUACAAAAUUGAGUUG
Molecule: microRNA precursor, 84 nt
Filed under: Bombyx mori (domestic silkworm)
Lineage: Eukaryota; Metazoa; Arthropoda; Insecta; Lepidoptera; Bombycidae
Description: mir-2807 microRNA precursor family
Rfam family: mir-2807 microRNA precursor family
Source: Rfam by way of RNAcentral